RNAcentral lists this ribosomal RNA (506 nucleotides) under uncultured bacterium. RNAcentral's name for it is "partial 16S ribosomal RNA". It matches the Rfam family "Bacterial small subunit ribosomal RNA", at positions 30 to 523 of the family's 1533-position model. The record is from RNAcentral.
AUUGAACGCUGGCGGCAGGCCUAACACAUGCAAGUCGAACGGUAACAGGAAACAGCUUGCUGUUUCGCUGACGAGUGGCGGACGGGUGAGUAAUGUCUGGGAAACUGCCUGAUGGAGGGGGAUAACUACUGGAAACGGUAGCUAAUACCGCAUAACGUCGCAAGACCAAAGAGGGGGACCUUCGGGCCUCUUGCCAUCGGAUGUGCCCAGAUGGGAUUAGCUAGUAGGUGGGGUAACGGCUUACCUAGGCGACGAUCCCUAGCUGGGCUGAGAGGAUGACCAGGCACACUGGAACGGAGACACGGUCCAGACUCCUACGGGGGGCAGCAGUGGGGAAUAUUGCACAAUGGGCGCAAGCCUGAUGCAGCCAUGCCGCGUGUAUGAAGAAGGCCUUCGGGUUGUAAAGUACUUUCAGCGGGGAGGAAGGGAGUAAAGUUAAUACCUUUGCUCAUUGACGUUACCCGCAGAAGAAGCACCGGCUAACUCCGUGCCAGCAGCCGCGGUAA